Non-coding RNA from Picea glauca (white spruce), 46 nucleotides. The record is from Rfam. Lineage: Eukaryota; Viridiplantae; Streptophyta; Pinopsida; Pinales; Pinaceae.
AUAAUGGUGUCUUUAGACACCACUAACUCAUAGCUUGGAUAUCUUU